Molecule: long non-coding RNA, 1857 nt
Organism: Crotalus tigris (Tiger rattlesnake)
Lineage: Eukaryota; Metazoa; Chordata; Lepidosauria; Squamata; Viperidae
Exons: 2
Source: RefSeq, a predicted model, not a curated record
UUUAUAUAGAUGUAAUGUAGAAAUGGAUUAACCUAAAUAUGUUAUACUAUUUGAGGGAAAUAUAGAGGGAACAUUUAAUGAAUUAAUUUGAGUUAUAUAUAUAUGACUUUGUCUUUGGAUGAUUGAUUAUCCCCUCACCACGGUGUUUCUUGAGCACUCUGAUAUAAAAAUUAAAAAACUAAUAAAACUUGUUUAUAAAAAAAAAAGUCCUGACCAGCUGAGCUUGGUUAGUUUUAUGCAACUAGGCAAAAUUAUGCAAUGCAAUUUAAUAAUAGGAAAAUUCAAAUGUUCAUGUAAAACAAAUUCACUCUUUGUUAAGCUAUGAGUACAAAUGGUUAGACAUUCAUGUUUUUAUUUAUGUCAAAAUAAAACUUUGUGGUUUGUAGAUAAUAGAGAUAAUGAAUAGCAGUUGCUCUUUAAAAUAAUGUGUGCAAAAUGUAGCUUAUAGGAUGCAGCAAUGUAAGAAGAGAAGGAGCCCAACUGUUGAUACAACUACACCCUCUGCUGUUUAACCACCAUAAUGGAAUAUCAGAACAGCAAAUCUGUUCUUUCAGGGUGAAAUAAAACUAAGGAAAUUUUGGAAUUGACAAUUAAAAAUAAACGUUUGGAAGGUUUCUCAUGGAAGAAAGUCUCAAAAGUAUGCAGAAUUGGAAGCCUGUUCCUCACUUUAGUCAAAUCACAGCUUAGUGGAGCUGGCAUGUCCAUUGUUAGCAGCUGAGGGUGGGAGAGAAGAAAAGAAGAUCCAUGGAGAAGAUCAUGUAUUGUGACUAUAGCAGAAGCGGAAUAAAUGGCUCUGGAAAUACUGGGGGGGGGGGAGAGCAGGUGGACCUGUGGGAUCUGAGAAAACAGCAGUGGCAAUGUCUGUGCCUAAAGAGAGGGAAAAGGGAAGGUUCAGGAAGGAAGGGGAGCUGGCGGAAAAGGAAGGGGAGCAAAAAGAUAUGCUACACUAGGACACGAUGAAAGGUGGAAGAGGCAUUGGCCUCGCUCUACUGACUCCACAAAUUCACUCCAAGCUCUUUCUGGAUUUUAUUUAAAGUCCAGAACGAAAAAAUGUUCCAGUUACUUCUAUUAUUUCUAGAGUUAUUAUGUUCUUAUUACCUAAUAUCCAGGGGUAUGUCAUCAGCAAGCCAUUGUAUUAAACAAAAAAAUGGGAUAAUUCCAUAUUGGCCAAAGCCAAAGUAUUGUAUUCACCUGCAACACUGGGAAUUAAUUAAUAUAUUUCAUCUCUCUAAAUAUUUGAAUAGCUUUUAUUUAAAUAAAUGGAGAAUAGCUUUUCAAAAGCCUUAUUAAAUGGGUUGCCAUCAAAUAUGCUUUAUGGUAGAUUUCAAAAAUUUCUGCUUCUCUUACAAGAUUUUUUCCUUGUAAUGGUACUGAUCUUGAAAUGGUGGAACGUAUUUUAUUGUAUUGUGAAUUUUAUAAAUCUUUUGCAGGAAAUUUUCUGGUCUAUUUUAACAUCUAAACCAGGCAUGUCAAACUGCUAGCCCACGGGCCAGAUGCGUCACGCUGAAACUGCGCCCACCCCAUUGCCGGCAAUGGGGAAAAAGUCAUGAUACAUCGCAUGACAUCACGUGACAUUGCAAGUUUGACAUGCCUGAUCUAAAUCAAGAAGAAGAGAUAUGUAAAAAAAUUACUUGAAGAUGAAAAUCCGAAGAUUACAAUGGUAACAGCCAGAUUUUUAACUACGGCUAUAUAAAAAAAGGCUUUUAAUAAUAAAUCAAUACUGAGGUUUUAAGCCUAUUAUGUGUUAUUUAUUAAAUAUUUUAUUGGAUAAAUUGUUGUAUCCAAUGCCAAGUUUAAUUUAUAUUUGUAACCUGCUUUUAAGCCUUUUGGCCAUAAUAAAAGUGAUUGAUGUUCUUA